RNAcentral lists this ribosomal RNA (2156 nucleotides) under Salmonella enterica subsp. enterica serovar Typhi. RNAcentral's name for it is "partial 23S ribosomal RNA". It matches the Rfam family "Bacterial large subunit ribosomal RNA", at positions 805 to 2925 of the family's 2925-position model. Lineage: Bacteria; Pseudomonadati; Pseudomonadota; Gammaproteobacteria; Enterobacterales; Enterobacteriaceae. The record is from RNAcentral.
UGACCUGUGGCUGGGGGUGAAAGGCCAAUCAAACCGGGAGAUAGCUGGUUCUCCCCGAAAGCUAUUUAGGUAGCGCCUCGUGAAUUCAUCUCCGGGGGUAGAGCACUGUUUCGGCUAGGGGGCCAUCCCGGCUUACCAACCCGAUGCAAACUGCGAAUACCGGAGAAUGUUAUCACGGGAGACACACGGCGGGUGCUAAUGUCCGUCGUGAAGAGGGAAACAACCCAGACCGCCAGCUAAGGUCCCAAAGUCAUGGUUAAGUGGGAAACGAUGUGGGAAGGCCCAGACAGCCAGGAUGUUGGCUUAGAAGCAGCCAUCAUUUAAAGAAAGCGUAAUAGCUCACUGGUCGAGUCGGCCUGCGCGGAAGAUGUAACGGGGCUAAACCAUGCACCGAAGCUGCGGCAGCGACACCGUGUGUUGUUGGGUAGGGGAGCGUUCUGUAAGCCUGUGAAGGUGUGCUGUGAGGCAUGCUGGAGGUAUCAGAAGUGCGAAUGCUGACAUAAGUAACGAUAAAGCGGGUGAAAAGCCCGCUCGCCGGAAGACCAAGGGUUCCUGUCCAACGUUAAUCGGGGCAGGGUGAGUCGACCCCUAAGGCGAGGCCGAAAGGCGUAGUCGAUGGGAAACGGGUUAAUAUUCCCGUACUUGGUGUUACUGCGAAGGGGGGACGGAGAAGGCUAUGUUGGCCGGGCGACGGUUGUCCCGGUUUAAGCGUGUAGGUAUGUGUUCCAGGUAAAUCCGGUUCACUUUAACACUGAGGCGUGACGACGAGGCACUACGGUGCUGAAGCAACAAAUGCCCUGCUUCCAGGAAAAGCCUCUAAGCAUCAGGUAACAUCAAAUCGUACCCCAAACCGACACAGGUGGUCAGGUAGAGAAUACCAAGGCGCUUGAGAGAACUCGGGUGAAGGAACUAGGCAAAAUGGUGCCGUAACUUCGGGAGAAGGCACGCUGACACGUAGGUGAAGUGAUUUACUCACGGAGCUGAAGUCAGCCGAAGAUACCAGCUGGCUGCAACUGUUUAUUAAAAACACAGCACUGUGCAAACACGAAAGUGGACGUAUACGGUGUGACGCCUGCCCGGUGCCGGAAGGUUAAUUGAUGGGGUCAGCGCAAGCGAAGCUCCUGAUCGAAGCCCCGGUAAACGGCGGCCGUAACUAUAACGGUCCUAAGGUAGCGAAAUUCCUUGUCGGGUAAGUUCCGACCUGCACGAAUGGCGUAAUGAUGGCCAGGCUGUCUCCACCCGAGACUCAGUGAAAUUGAACUCGCUGUGAAGAUGCAGUGUACCCGCGGCAAGACGGAAAGACCCCGUGAACCUUUACUAUAGCUUGACACUGAACAUUGAGCCUUGAUGUGUAGGAUAGGUGGGAGGCUUUGAAGUGUGGACGCCAGUCUGCAUGGAGCCGACCUUGAAAUACCACCCUUUAAUGUUUGAUGUUCUAACGUGGACCCGUGAUCCGGGUUGCGGACAGUGUCUGGUGGGUAGUUUGACUGGGGCGGUCUCCUCCUAAAGAGUAACGGAGGAGCACGAAGGUUGGCUAAUCCUGGUCGGACAUCAGGAGGUUAGUGCAAUGGCAUAAGCCAGCUUGACUGCGAGCGUGACGGCGCGAGCAGGUGCGAAAGCAGGUCAUAGUGAUCCGGUGGUUCUGAAUGGAAGGGCCAUCGCUCAACGGAUAAAAGGUACUCCGGGGAUAACAGGCUGAUACCGCCCAAGAGUUCAUAUCGACGGCGGUGUUUGGCACCUCGAUGUCGGCUCAUCACAUCCUGGGGCUGAAGUAGGUCCCAAGGGUAUGGCUGUUCGCCAUUUAAAGUGGUACGCGAGCUGGGUUUAGAACGUCGUGAGACAGUUCGGUCCCUAUCUGCCGUGGGCGCUGGAGAACUGAGGGGGGCUGCUCCUAGUACGAGAGGACCGGAGUGGACGCAUCACUGGUGUUCGGGUUGUCAUGCCAAUGGCACUGCCCGGUAGCUAAAUGCGGAAGAGAUAAGUGCUGAAAGCAUCUAAGCACGAAACUUGCCCCGAGAUGAGUUCUCCCUGAGACUUUAGGUCUCCUGAAGGAACGUUGAAGACGACGACGUUGAUAGGCCGGGUGUGUAAGCGCAGCGAUGCGUUGAGCUAACCGGUACUAAUGAACCGUGAGGCUUAACCUUACAACGCCGAAG